This 245-nucleotide ribosomal RNA is filed under the name uncultured bacterium. RNAcentral describes it as "partial 16S ribosomal RNA". It matches the Rfam family "Bacterial small subunit ribosomal RNA", at positions 335 to 596 of the family's 1533-position model. The record is from RNAcentral.
UUACCUACGGGAGGCAGCAGUGGGGAAUAUUGCGCAAUGGGGGCAACCCUGACGCAGCAACGCCGCGUGAUUGAAGAAGGCCUUCGGGUUGUAAAGAUCUUUCAUCGGGGACGAAUUUUGACGGUACCCGAAGAAUAAGCUCCGGCUAACUACGAGCCAGCAGCCGCGGUAAUACGUGGGGAGCAAGCGUUAUCCGGAUUUACUGGGUGUAAAGGGCGUGUAGGCGGGCAGGCAAGCCAGAAGGG